RNAcentral lists this ribosomal RNA (279 nucleotides) under uncultured bacterium. Its description in RNAcentral is "partial 16S ribosomal RNA". It matches the Rfam family "Bacterial small subunit ribosomal RNA", at positions 506 to 784 of the family's 1533-position model. The record is from RNAcentral.
UGCCAGCCGCCGCGGUAAUACGGAGGGUGCAAGCGUUAUCCGGAAUCACUGGGUUUAAAGGGUGCGUAGGCGGUUAGAUAAGUCAGAGGUGAAAGGUUGUCGCUUAACGAUAAAAUUGCCUUUGAUACUGUUUAACUAGAAUUAGGUUGAGGUAGGCGGAAUGCGACAUGUAGCGGUGAAAUGCAUAGAUAUGUCGUAGAACACCAAUUGCGAAGGCAGCUUACUAGACCUAUAUUGACGCUGAGGCACGAAAGCGUGGGGAGCGAACAGGAUUAGAUA